This is a long non-coding RNA of Pteropus alecto (black flying fox), 361 nucleotides long. RefSeq lists it as uncharacterized. The transcript is spliced from 2 exons. The record is from RefSeq and is a predicted model, not a curated record. Lineage: Eukaryota; Metazoa; Chordata; Mammalia; Chiroptera; Pteropodidae.
GGCCCAUGUGGCAAAGAACUGAGGGCAGCCUCUGGCCAACAGCUAACAAGGAAGUGAGGCCUGCAGAGCAACAAUUUGAAUGAAGCAGAAGAAACACUGUGCCAGUUUUGAGCCUAUGCCCCAGGAUCCCCCUCUUUCUCAGAACUCUGCUUCGUUUCCAUGAAAUGGACUUGUCUGCUGGAGGAUGAGACUCAUGGAAGAGAACCAAGGUACCCCAGCCAACAGCUAUAGGCAGAGCUUAUGUUUACACUAGUGUGUACAUAAGAGAGAAAGCAGCCGAGAUCUGAACUGCCUAGCUGAACCAGCCCAAAUUGCUGACCCACAGAAUCAUGAGCCAAAUAAACAGUCGUAUUUUAAGCUA